This 497-nucleotide ribosomal RNA is filed under the name uncultured bacterium. RNAcentral's name for it is "partial 16S ribosomal RNA". It matches the Rfam family "Bacterial small subunit ribosomal RNA", at positions 28 to 507 of the family's 1533-position model. The record is from RNAcentral.
GAUGAACGCUGGCGGCGUGCCUAAUACAUGCAAGUCGAGCGAACAGACGAGGAGCUUGCUCCUUUGACGUUAGCGGCGGACGGGUGAGUAACACGUAGGUAACCUACCUAUAAGACUGGGAUAACUUCGGGAAACCGGAGCUAAUACCGGAUAAUAUUUCGAACCGCAUGGUUCGAUAGUGAAAGAUUGCUUUGCCAUCACUUAUAGAUGGACCUGCGCCGUAUUAGCUAGUUGGUAAGGUAACGGCUUACCAAGGCAACGAUACGUAGCCGACCUGAGAGGGUGAUCGGCCACACUGGAACUGAGACACGGUCCAGACUCCUACGGGAGGCAGCAGUAGGGAAUCUUCCGCAAUGGGCGAAAGCCUGACGGAGCAACGCCGCGUGAGUGAUGAAGGUCUUCGGAUCGUAAAACUCUGUUAUUAGGGAAGAACAAACGUGUAAGUAACUGUGCACGUCUUGACGGUACCUAAUCAGAAAGCCACGGCUAACUACGUG